UACGUAGGGAGCAAGCGUUGUUCGGAUUUACUGGGCGUAAAGGGCGCGUAGGCGGCAUAUUAAGUCAUCUGUGAAAUCUCCGAGCUUAACUCGGAACUGUCAGCUGAUACUGAUGUGCUAGAGUGCGGAAGGGGCAAUCGGAAUUCUUGGUGUAGCGGUGAAAUGCGUAGAUAUUGGGAGGAACACCAGUGGCGAAGGCGGCUCACUGGACCGGAACUGACGCUGAGGCGCGAAAGCGUGGGGAGCAAACGGG
Molecule: ribosomal RNA, 253 nt
Filed under: uncultured bacterium
Lineage: Bacteria
Description: partial 16S ribosomal RNA
Rfam family: Bacterial small subunit ribosomal RNA
Source: RNAcentral